GGGGAAUUUUGCGCAAUGGGGGAAACCCUGACGCAGCGACGCCGCGUGGAGGAUGACGGCCUUCGGGUUGUAAACUCCUGUCAGAGGGGACGAAAUCCCGCAAGGGACUGACGGUACCCUCAGAGGAAGCCCCGGCUAACUACGUGCCAGCAGCCGCGGUAAUACGUAGGGGGCAAGCGUUACUCGGAAUUACUGGGCGUAAAGGGUGAGUAGGCGGCUGGGCAAGUCAAGGAUGAAAUCCCGAGGCUCAACUUCGGAACCGUCCUUGAAACUGCUCAGCUUGAGGGUAGUUGAGGAGAGCGGAAUUCCCGGUGGAGCGGUGAAAUGCGUAGAUAUCGGGAGGAACACCUGAGGCGAAGGCGGCUCUCUAAGCUACUCCUGACGCUGAAUCACGAAAGCUAGGGGAGCAAACGG
RNAcentral lists this ribosomal RNA (414 nucleotides) under uncultured bacterium. Its description in RNAcentral is "bacterial SSU rRNA". It matches the Rfam family "Bacterial small subunit ribosomal RNA", at positions 356 to 775 of the family's 1533-position model. The record is from RNAcentral.